RNAcentral lists this ribosomal RNA (224 nucleotides) under uncultured bacterium. Its description in RNAcentral is "partial 16S ribosomal RNA". It matches the Rfam family "Bacterial small subunit ribosomal RNA", at positions 15 to 230 of the family's 1533-position model. The record is from RNAcentral.
GAUCAUGGCUCAGGAUGAACGCUGGCUACAGGCUUAGCACAUGCAAGUCGAGGGGCAGCAUGGUCUUAGCUUGCUAAGGCCGAUGGCGACCGGCGCACGGGUGAGUAACACGUAUCCAACCUGCCGUCUACUCUUGGACAGCCUUCUGAAAGGAAGAUUAAUACAAGAUGGCAUCAUGAGUUCACAUGUUCACAUGAUUAAAGGUAUUCCGGUAGACGAUGGGG